RNAcentral lists this ribosomal RNA (233 nucleotides) under uncultured bacterium. RNAcentral describes it as "partial 16S ribosomal RNA". It matches the Rfam family "Bacterial small subunit ribosomal RNA", at positions 544 to 776 of the family's 1533-position model. The record is from RNAcentral.
UCCGGAUUCACUGGGGUUAAAGGGUGCGUAGGCGGGCAUUUAAGUCAGUGGUGAAAUACCUGAGCUUAACUUGGGAACUGCCAUUGAUACUAUUUGUCUUGAAUACUGUGGAGGUCAGCGGAAUAUGUCAUGUAGCGGUGAAAUGCUUAGAUAUGACAUAGAACACCAAUUGCGAAGGCAGCUGGCUACACAAAUAUUGACACUGAGGCACGAAAGCGUGGGGAUCAAACAGG